Molecule: RNA transcript, 1382 nt
Organism: Drosophila erecta
Lineage: Eukaryota; Metazoa; Arthropoda; Insecta; Diptera; Drosophilidae
Gene name: glutathione S-transferase 1-1
Exons: 2
Source: RefSeq, a predicted model, not a curated record
CAGUUUGAUUUCGUGAAGAGACACAGCCAGAGGCCUCAAAUAAAUAAUCUUGAAAAUCAGUAAGGAACAUAGAUUAGGAACUUAAAGUGCACUAUGUUUGUGGCUCUGAAAUUUUUCUAAGAAACGCAGUUGUAAUUUUCUGUUCUCAAAAAAGCUUUUCAACGAGGGAAGUGUUCAUAAUAAUGUUAAUAACAGACUUUAUUACUGAAAACAAAAUACGAUCUGCAACAUACACAUAAUGCGGUGAUAUUUCGCGGUAGACCUCUUCUAAGAAAAAAUCCAAUGCAAUGUGUUGCAAUAAUACAAACAAUCUUUACAAACAGGGUACACUUUCAUACGAAUGAAAUACUUUCUAGUCUAAACAAUCUAGUAACCGUUAAAGGGAACAACAAUGUUCCGUAAACUAAUUCAGUACGAUUUUAGCUCAGCGAAUAAUCAUGCUGGACUUCUACUACAUGCUCUACUCGGCACCUUGCCGUUCCAUCCUGAUGACUGCCCGUGCCCUGGGACUGGAGCUGAACAAGAAGCAGGUCGAUCUGGAUGCCGGUGAGCAUCUGAAGCCGGAGUUUGUGAGGAUCAAUCCUCAGCAUACGAUUCCCACGCUCGUCGACGACGGGUUCGCGCUCUGGGAGUCGAGGGCUAUACUGAUUUAUCUGGGCGAGAAGUACGACAAGGAUGGCUCCCUGUAUCCCAAAGAUCCCCAGCAGAGGGCCGUCAUCAACCAGCGCCUGUUCUUCGAUCUGAGCACUCUGUAUCAGAGCUACGUGUACUACUACUAUCCCCAGUUGUUUGAGGAUGUGAAGAAGCCGGCUGAUCCCGAGAACGUCAAGAGGAUCGAUGCUGCCUUCGAUAUGUUCAAUACUCUGCUGAAGGGCCAGCAGUACGCCGCCCUCAACAAGUUAACUCUGGCCGAUUUUGCCCUCCUGACCACCGUUUCCACGUUUGAAAUAUCGGAAUAUGAUUUUCGUAAAUAUCCGGAAGUGGUCAGGUGGUACGAGAAUGCCAAGAAAGUGAUACCCGGCUGGGAGGAGAACUGGGAGGGCUGCGAGUACUACAAGAAAUUGUAUCUGGGUGCGAUAUUGAACAAACAAUGACUGGGCUGUAAUAAGUAAUCUAAUCUGUAUCGGACUGUUCGAAUAAAGAGUGAGGCAUUCUGAAAUGACUAAGAGUAUGAUGGCCGAAGAGUUGUUGGCUUUGGAUUGCGAUAAGGACAUGGAUCCUCUGCUCUUGUAAAAUUUGCUUGGACACGACACCUCAAACAUUCUGCUACCGAUAAGAUAAUGUUCCGUGUUGGUUUGCUGAAAAGCCAGCUGCCGUGAUUUUGCUGAUAGCGAAAGUAAUUAAAGUCAAAGAGAUCCCAGCAAGCGUAAAAUGGAUUUAUA